RNAcentral lists this ribosomal RNA (254 nucleotides) under uncultured bacterium. RNAcentral describes it as "partial 16S ribosomal RNA". It matches the Rfam family "Bacterial small subunit ribosomal RNA", at positions 524 to 776 of the family's 1533-position model. The record is from RNAcentral.
UACGUAGGGUGCGAGCGUUGUCCGGAAUUAUUGGGCGUAAAGAGCUCGUAGGCGGUGUGUCACGUCGUUCGUGAAAACCUGCAGCUUAACUGUGGGCGUGCGGUCGAUACGGGCAUCACUGGAGUUCGGCAGGGGAGACUGGAAUUCCUGGUGUAGCGGUGAAAUGCGCAGAUAUCAGGAGGAACACCGGUGGCGAAGGCGGGUCUCUGGGCCGAUACUGACGCUAAGGCGCGAAAGCGUGGGGAGCGAACAGG